This 343-nucleotide unclassified non-coding RNA is filed under the name soil metagenome. RNAcentral describes it as "partial contains 5.8S ribosomal RNA, internal transcribed spacer 2, and large subunit ribosomal RNA". The stretch from base 1 to 120 matches the Rfam family "5.8S ribosomal RNA", at positions 35 to 154 of the family's 154-position model. The record is from RNAcentral.
GAUGAAGAACGUAGCGAAAUGCGAUAAGUAAUGUGAAUUGCAGAAUUCAGUGAAUCAUCGAAUCUUUGAACGCACAUUGCGCCCGCCAGUAUUCUGGCGGGCAUGCCUGUUCGAGCGUCAUUUCAACCAUCAAGCCCCCGGGCUUGUGUUGGGGACCUGCGGCUGCCGCAGGCCCUGAAAUCCAGUGGCGGGCUCGCUGACACACCGAGCGUAGUAGAUUUACAACCUCGCUUUGGGAGUGCUGCGGGUGCUAGCCGUAAAACGACCUUGUCUUUAGCACUAGGUUGAACUCGGAUCAGGUAGGAAGACCCGCUGAACUUAAGCAUAUCAAUAAGCGGAGGAA